RNAcentral lists this ribosomal RNA (253 nucleotides) under uncultured bacterium. RNAcentral describes it as "partial 16S ribosomal RNA". It matches the Rfam family "Bacterial small subunit ribosomal RNA", at positions 524 to 776 of the family's 1533-position model. The record is from RNAcentral.
GACGAACCGUGCGAACGUUGUUCGGAAUCGCUGGGCUUAAAGGGCGCGUAGGCGGGCUGGCAAGUCCGGGGUGAAAUCCAUCGGCUUAACCGAUGAACGGCCUCGGAUACUGCCGGCCUGGAGGCGGGUAGGGGCGGGCGGAACUCUGGGUGGAGCGGUGAAAUGCGUUGAUAUCCAGAGGAACGCCGGUGGCGAAGGCGGCCCGCUGGACCCGAUCUGACGCUGAGGCGCGAAAGCCAGGGGAGCGAACGGG